CGCCUCUUGCUAAUAACUGAGUAUAAGAGGUCCUGCCUGCCCAGUGAUCAUUUUAACGGCCGCGGUAUCAUGACCGUGCAAAGGUAGCGUAAUCACUUGUCUUUUAAUUAGAGACCUGUAUGAAAGGCAAAACGAAAGUUCAACUGUCUCUUUAGUCCAAUCAAUUAAAUUUAUCUCUCCGUGCAGAAGCGGAGAUAAAUAUAUAAGACGAGAAGACCCUAUGGAGCUUUAAACACACUAUUAACUAUGCCCUUGCAACUCAACCCAACAGGCAAAAUAUGAACCGCAUAGACAUAAUACAAGUUUUGGGUUGGGGCGACCACGGAAGAAAAACCAUCCUCCGAGAUAAACAAUUUAGAACAACACUUCAAAAAUUAAAAUAUUUAUUAUAAGUGAUCCACUAAGUGAUCAACGAACCAAGUUACCCUAGGGAUAACAGCGCAAUCCUUUCUAAGAGUCCCUAUCGACGAACGGGUUUACGACCUCGAUGUUGGAUCAGGACACCCAAAUGGUGCAGCCGCUAUUAAUGGUUCGUUUGUUCAACGAUUAAAGUCCU
This 556-nucleotide ribosomal RNA is filed under the name Pleurodeles nebulosus. Its description in RNAcentral is "partial 16S ribosomal RNA". It matches the Rfam family "Bacterial large subunit ribosomal RNA", at positions 1816 to 2597 of the family's 2925-position model. The record is from RNAcentral. Lineage: Eukaryota; Metazoa; Chordata; Amphibia; Caudata; Salamandridae.